GGAAGGGAGUGUAAUCUGUCUGUGACAUCUGUCACCCCACUGAUCACCAGGGUUGAUUUCACUGGUUCAGUGGAGAUCCCCUUCCACUCUCACUGCUCUAUGCAUUUCCCUCCUCAAACUACACGUUUGAUUGAAAAGGAAGACUUUCCCCAAAUAAAGACAAACCAGUCUUUAGUUGAGGGUAUGUGAGUAGAUGUGUUCCUCUGCUAGAACCUCCAGACAAGUUCUCAAGGUAAAUUGUAUGACAGCUUAAAAGUCCCUUAAGAUCUACAUUUCUUUAAAUAAAUAAGGGAGUUUGAUAAUGCAAAUUUAGUAACAUGUCAAUACUU
This 329-nucleotide small nuclear RNA is filed under the name Erinaceus europaeus (western European hedgehog). RNAcentral describes it as "7SK RNA". It matches the Rfam family "7SK RNA". From Rfam's summary of the family: 7SK was discovered as an abundant small nuclear RNA in the mid-70s but a possible function has only recently been suggested. Two independent studies have found that 7SK RNA binds the CDK9/cyclin T complex (known as elongation factor P-TEFb). The record is from Rfam by way of RNAcentral. Lineage: Eukaryota; Metazoa; Chordata; Mammalia; Eulipotyphla; Erinaceidae.